Mus caroli (Ryukyu mouse) is the source of this 310-nucleotide non-coding RNA. Lineage: Eukaryota; Metazoa; Chordata; Mammalia; Rodentia; Muridae. The record is from RefSeq and is a predicted model, not a curated record.
GCCGGGAAAGGACAGCUUGGACCCAGAGGGAGUUGCCUGCGUCUGGGCCGCGGGGGAGCAGCAGGCCGGCCAGGCGGGGCCGGACUUACAGAUGGCUUGGUGGAUAAGAACUCCGGCUGCUCUUCCAGUAGACCAGGGGCUGAGCCUCAGCGCGCACGUGAUAGCUCAUGACUGACUGUGACUCCAGUUCUAGGGGACCCAACAACUUUUUCUGGCAUAUUUGGGGACCAGAAACACACGUGGUGCACAAAACAUACACGGAAGCAAAACACUCACCAUGCAGAAAUAAAAAUCUUUUGUUUGUUUCUGU